UGAGAUUUAAGUUAAAAAAACUAAUUGCCUUCAAAGCAAAAAUUAAGAGCCAAGCCUUAAUCUUAA
Molecule: transfer RNA, 66 nt
Filed under: Ophiocreas oedipus
Lineage: Eukaryota; Metazoa; Echinodermata; Ophiuroidea; Euryalida; Asteroschematidae
Also listed under: 1 other name
Description: tRNA-Trp
Source: RNAcentral